GAAAUCCUUGAUUCUAAUACAGUCGGGGGAUGACGGUACCGGAAGAAUAAGCACCGGCUAACUACGUGCCAGCAGCCGCGGUAAUACGUAGGGUGCGAGCGUUAAUCGGAAUUACUGGGCGUAAAGCGUGCGCAGGCGGUUUGCUAAGACCGAUGUGAAAUCCCCGGGCUCAACCUGGGAACUGCAUUGGUGACUGGCAGGCUAGAGUAUGGCAGAGGGGGGUAGAAUUCCACGUGUAGCAGUGAAAUGCGUAGAGAUGUGGAGGAAUACCGAUGGCGAAGGCAGCCCCCUGGGCCAAUACUGACGCUCAUGCACGAAAGCGUGGGGAGCAAACAGGAUUAGAUACCCUGGUAGUCCACGCCCUAAACGAUGUCAACUAGUUGUUGGGGAUUCAUUUCCUUA
This 402-nucleotide ribosomal RNA is filed under the name Burkholderia sp. Its description in RNAcentral is "bacterial SSU rRNA". It matches the Rfam family "Bacterial small subunit ribosomal RNA", at positions 447 to 842 of the family's 1533-position model. The record is from RNAcentral. Lineage: Bacteria; Pseudomonadati; Pseudomonadota; Betaproteobacteria; Burkholderiales; Burkholderiaceae.